CUUCCUCCGGGGGGCAGCAGUGAGGAAUAUUGGUCAAUGGGCGCGAGCCUGAACCAGCCAAGUCGCGUGCGGGCCGCCGGUCCUCUGGCUUGUCCCCCUCUUUUUUCGGGGCGCCCCCGCCGCCCCGUGUGGCGUUCCGAGAGUCCCCGAAGACAAAGCCUCGGCUCCCUCCGUGCCCGCCGCCGCGGUCCUCCGGCGGCUGCGCGCGUUCUCCGGCUUUCUUGGGUUUCCCG
Molecule: ribosomal RNA, 233 nt
Filed under: uncultured bacterium
Lineage: Bacteria
Description: partial 16S ribosomal RNA
Rfam family: Bacterial small subunit ribosomal RNA
Source: RNAcentral